Molecule: ribosomal RNA, 393 nt
Filed under: uncultured bacterium
Lineage: Bacteria
Description: partial 16S ribosomal RNA
Rfam family: Bacterial small subunit ribosomal RNA
Source: RNAcentral
AUACGGAGGAUCCGAGCGUUAUCCGGAUUUAUUGGGCUUAAAGGGAGCGUAGGUGGAUUGUUAAGUCAGUUGUGAAAGUUUGCGGCUCAACCGUAAAAUUGCAGUUGAAACUGGCAGUCUUGAGUACAGUAGAGGUGGGCGGAAUUCGUGGUGUAGCGGUGAAAUGCUUAGAUAUCACGAAGAACUCCGAUUGCGAAGGCAGCUCACUAGACUGUUACUGACACUGAUGCUCGAAAGUGUGGGUAUCAAACAGGAUUAGAUACCCUGGUAGUCCACACAGUAAACGAUGAAUACUCGCUGUUUGCGAUAUACAGUAAGCGGCCAAGCGAAAGCAUUAAGUAUUCCACCUGGGGAGUACGCCGGCAACGGUGAAACUCAAAUGAAUUGGCGGGG